GACGAACGCUGGCGGCGCGCCUAACACAUGCAAGUCGAACGGAGCUGAGAGGAGCUUGCUUUUCUUAGCUUAGUGGCGAACGGGUGAGUAACGCGUGAGUAACCUGCCCUGGAGUGGGGGACAACAGUUGGAAACGACUGCUAAUACCGCAUAAGCCCACGGAUCCGCAUGGAUCUGCGGGAAAAGGAUUUAUUCGCUUCAGGAUGGACUCGCGUCCAAUUAGCUAGUUGGUGAGGUAACGGCCCACCAACGGCGACGAUUGGUAGCCGGACUGAGAGGUUGAACGGCCACAUUGGGACUGAGACACGGCCCAGACCCCUACGGGAGGCAGCAGUGGGGGAUAUUGCACAAUGGGGGAAACCCUGAUGCAGCGACGCCGCGUGGAGGAAGAAGGUUUUCGGAUUGUAAACUCCUGUCGUUAGGGACGAUAAUGACGGUACCUAACAAGAAAGCACCGGC
This 459-nucleotide ribosomal RNA is filed under the name uncultured bacterium. Its description in RNAcentral is "bacterial SSU rRNA". It matches the Rfam family "Bacterial small subunit ribosomal RNA", at positions 28 to 497 of the family's 1533-position model. The record is from RNAcentral.